UAGUAUUUAGUUAUUGGUUAAUAUUUAUAUAAUAUAAAUUGAUUCUAUAGAUAAAUAAAAAGUGGAAUUCUUAUGUUAUUUUAUAGAUGUAGGAUAUUUAUAUAAGAGGCUAAAAAAUUUUAAAAAUAGACUAGGAUUAGAUACCCUAUUAUUUUAAAAUAUAAGUAAUAUACUAGAUUAUUAUAAGUUAGUUACUUUAAAUUUAAAAAAUUUGGCGGUAGUUUAGUCUAUUCAGAGGAACCUGUUUUUAAAUCGAUAUACCACGUAAAAUUUUACUUGUUUUGUAUGGUUUGUAUACCAUCAUUGUUAGAUAAUUUUUAAAGAAAA
RNAcentral lists this ribosomal RNA (327 nucleotides) under Louisea nkongsamba. RNAcentral describes it as "partial small subunit ribosomal RNA". The record is from RNAcentral. Lineage: Eukaryota; Metazoa; Arthropoda; Malacostraca; Decapoda; Potamonautidae.